GCGUGGGGAGCGAACAGGAUUAGAUACCCUGGUAGUCCACGCCGUAAACGAUGAGUGCUAAGUGUUGGAGGGUUUCCGCCCUUCAGUGCUGCAGCAAACGCAUUAAGCACUCCGCCUGGGGAGUACGACCGCAAGGUUGAAACUCAAAGGAAUUGACGGGGGCCCGCACAAGCGGUGGAGCAUGUGGUUUAAUUCGAAGCAACGCGAAGAACCUUACCAGGUCUUGACAUCCUUUGACCACUCUAGAGAUAGAGCUUCCCCUUCGGGGGCAAAGUGACAGGUGGUGCAUGGUUGUCGUCAGCUCGUGUCGUGAGAUGUUGGGUUAAGUCCCGCAACGAGCGCAACCCUUAUUGUUAGUUGCCAUCAUUUAGUUGGGCACUCUAGCGAGACUGCCGGUGACAAACCGGAGGAAGGUGGGGAUGACGUCAAAUCAUCAUGCCCCUUAUGACCUGGGCUACACACGUGCUACAAUGGGAAGUACAACGAGUUGCGAAGUCGCGAGGCUAAGCUAAUCUCUUAAAGCUUCUCUCAGUUCGGAUUGUAGGCUGCAACUCGCCUACAUGAAGCCGGAAUCGCUAGUAAUCGCGGAUCAGCACGCCGCGGUGAAUACGUUCCCGGGCCUUGUACACACCGCCCGUCACACCACGAGAGUUUGUAACACCCGAAGUCGGUGAGGUAACCUUUUUGGAGCCAGCCGCCUAAGGUGGGAUAGAUGAUUGGGGUGAAGUCGUAACAAGGUAACCAAU
This 746-nucleotide ribosomal RNA is filed under the name uncultured bacterium. RNAcentral describes it as "bacterial SSU rRNA". It matches the Rfam family "Bacterial small subunit ribosomal RNA", at positions 759 to 1504 of the family's 1533-position model. The record is from RNAcentral.